Triticum dicoccoides is the source of this 1213-nucleotide long non-coding RNA. RefSeq lists it as uncharacterized. Lineage: Eukaryota; Viridiplantae; Streptophyta; Magnoliopsida; Poales; Poaceae. The transcript has 3 exons. The record is from RefSeq and is a predicted model, not a curated record.
GGUUGGGUCGUCUUCCACACUCCACUACUUCCCGUCUUCUCCACACCGUCCCUUCUUCCUCACUUCCUCACUCCCUCCCCUGCUUCUAAAAACCCUCUCCCCUCUCCCUCCUCUUCCUCGUCGCCGUCGGUCGCCGGCCGUCGGCCGGCAUAUCCCGCUGCCAUUCGCCGGAGGCCCUCGUCGUCCCGCAUCAUCGGCCGCCGACGAUUAGACAGUACCAAGCGUGUCAUGCCUAUCAUGAUGAUCAUCUCUGGUUGACAAGUUACUUUCCUUGGUCUACUGCUUGAUCUUUGUUCUUUGGAAGUACUAUAUCUCACUCCAUACUACCAUGAAUCUCCAUAAUAAUUGUCAGCAACAGCUAUCGUGCUCAAAUUCUGCAAGGCCGCCAACAUUUUGGACCAUCUGUCCAACCUGUGUCACCAAAUAUCAGUACCACCAUGCAAUUUUGAAGAAAGCUGUCUGCUGCCAUAAUUGCUCGAAAGCCUUCAUAGCACAUGCUUUAACUGAGCAACAUGUUCCUUCUGGUCCAUAUCAACAGUUUGCUGAGCUGUGGAUAAGUGCAGGAGUAUUUUCAGAAAUUAGAUUGCUUCAGAAGUUCGAACCUGGGCAGAUAUGGGCUCUCUACAGUGACAGACAAGUUUCCGAAUUACUAUGUCUUCAUAGAGAAAGUUGAUCUCGAGAAUAAUGAAGUACAGGCAAGAUGGCUUGAAGCUUUUCCUGAUGAAGGGGUGGACCAAAGAUUGGUAGUAGAUCGAACUGCUGAGUGUGUUGCGUCCAAUGGCUGAACAAUUUUGUAAUUCUGAGAUGUGAUUUCUGGUGUGCUUCAUAGACGAAGUAUUUCACUGUAGGGGUUAUUGCAUUGAGUCGACAAUUCUGCGAUAUUUGUAGAUCAUGCAUUCCGCAUCACUGGAAAAUGCAGUGGUUUUGACAAUUAAUGUAACAAGUGAAAUAAGAUUGCUUUGCAAGUUCAAACCUGGCCAGAUCUGGGCUCUCUACAAUGAUAUAUAUUACUUCCCCAAUUACUAUGCCGUUAUAAAGAAAGUCGAUGUCAAGAAUAAUAAGGUAACAUUGAGAUGGCUCCAUGUCUGUCCUCAGGGAAUGGAGGAGAAAAGAUUGGUCAAAGAAGAUCAUCCUGUUGGGUGUGGAACCUUUGGGGUUUCCACUGGCAAUGAUGGUAUUAGUACUUGCAGCCGUACAACAUACUUUUCUCAUC